CAGCAGCCGCGGUAAUACGUAGGUGGCAAGCGUUGUCCGGAAUUAUUGGGCGUAAAGGGCUCGCAGGCGGUUUCUUAAGUCUGAUGUGAAAGCCCCCGGCUCAACCGGGGAGGGUCAUUGGAAACUGGGAAACUUGAGUGCAGAAGAGGAGAGUGGAAUUCCACGUGCAGCGGUGAAAUGCGUAGAGAUGUGGAGGAACACCAGUGGCGAAGGCGACUCUCUGGUCUGUAACUGACGCUGAGGAGCGAAAGCGUGGGGAGCGAACAGGAUUAGAUACCCGAGUAGUCCCUGUCUCUUAUAC
This 301-nucleotide ribosomal RNA is filed under the name uncultured bacterium. RNAcentral's name for it is "partial 16S ribosomal RNA". It matches the Rfam family "Bacterial small subunit ribosomal RNA", at positions 509 to 807 of the family's 1533-position model. The record is from RNAcentral.